AUUGAACGCUGGCGGCAGGCCUAAUACAUGCAAGUCGAACGGCAGCACAGCAGAGCUUGCUCUGUGGGUGGCGAGUGGCGGACGGGUGAGGAAUACAUGGGAAUCUGCCCAGUCGUGGGGGAUAACGUAUGGAAACGUACGCUAAUACCGCAUGCGCCCUACGGGGGAAAGCCGGGGACCGCAAGGCCUGGCGCGAUUGGAUGAGCCCAUGUUCGAUUAGCUAGUUGGCGGGGUAAAGGCCCACCAAGGCGACGAUCGAUAGCUGGUCUGAGAGGAUGAUCAGCCACACUGGAACUGAGACACGGUCCAGACUCCUACGGGAGGCAGCAGUAGGGAAUAUUGGACAAUGGGGGCAACCCUGAUCCAGCCAUGCCGCGUGAGUGAAGAAGGCCCUCGGGUUGUAAAGCUCUUUUGUCCGGAAAGAAAAGCAAUCGGUUAAUACCCGGUUGUUCUGACGGUACCGGAAGAAUAAGCACCGGCUAACUUCGUGCCAGC
RNAcentral lists this ribosomal RNA (495 nucleotides) under uncultured bacterium. Its description in RNAcentral is "bacterial SSU rRNA". It matches the Rfam family "Bacterial small subunit ribosomal RNA", at positions 30 to 512 of the family's 1533-position model. The record is from RNAcentral.